CCGGCGUCUGGAGGUCCUGCAGCAGGAGGAGAUAAUGAGGGGGCCUCAUCGCCCAGAAAACUCAUAGUGUUUCACUGCGAGUUUUCAUCAGAGAGAGGACCACGGCUUUGUCAGUAUCUGAGGGAGUUGGAUCGUACAGUGAAUGUUCAGACGUAUCCUCACCUCCUCUACCCCGAGCUCUACCUACUGCAGGGGGGAUACAAGCACUUCUACUUCUGCUGUCCGGAGCUGUGUGAGCCACAUGGUUAUGUCCCCAUGCGCCACAGCGACUUCAGAGAACAGCUUCGGCGUUUCAGCAGGAAGAGGCGCCAACAUCGUCGCAGACGUCCAAUCAGAUCGCAGCAGAGGACAUGACACUUUUAACACAGACUGAGAGCUGUCUAUAAAGAACUGGACAGAACCCAUAAGUGAACGCUGGAAAUGAUUGGGAAGGCAGUUAGAGCGAGGAGCUAUAUUGAUGAUAAAGUAUAAAUAUCAUGAUUUAUACAGUGAUACACGUUCCUAAGACAUCACAGGUACAGUUUGUGUUUUUAUAACAUCGACGAACUCCACUGGUGCUCACAGAAACAAUUAGCUGAUUACAUCUUAUUUAUACAAUGCCCCUUGUGUUUCCGUGUUAAAUCAUUGAUUUUUAUUUUACCAUCCUUAAAGGAAAGUAUUACUGGCGUAGUAUUUUUCCACAGAUCAUUUAGCAAAUCUACAUUUAGCAACACUUUGUUCAUCCUGAAAUGUCUUCAUUGUGUGCUAUUAAAAGUAUUGUGUUAUUAUAUUUUCACCAUAUCACCUCCCUUACGCAUUCUAUUAACACUCACUUUGUUUAAUAAAUGAUCCUAUGUACUCAUUUAAUUAUCUUUUACAUUAUACACGCUUACUGAACAAACUGUUAAAGGAGCCGUCCGUAAUGUGUAGCGCCCUCUGCUGUGUGAGAGAUGAAGUGCUACCGCGACGGAAACGCCAACAAUCUCGUAUGCCAAACCCGUAAAAUUGCCUUUAUA
Long non-coding RNA from Ictalurus punctatus (channel catfish), 995 nucleotides. The record is from Ensembl. Lineage: Eukaryota; Metazoa; Chordata; Actinopteri; Siluriformes; Ictaluridae.